Long non-coding RNA from Rhipicephalus sanguineus (brown dog tick), 450 nucleotides. RefSeq lists it as uncharacterized. The transcript is spliced from 3 exons. The record is from RefSeq and is a predicted model, not a curated record. Lineage: Eukaryota; Metazoa; Arthropoda; Arachnida; Ixodida; Ixodidae.
CCUCCUGUCCGCGUACACUUCAGCAAGGCUUUCGUCGGCAACGGCUUCUACGGUAGAAGUCUACGGUAGCGUGGUUCCACCUGGCACUUCCCACGCUUCAUGAUCAGGUACAUUGCACAGGCCGGAAGAAAAAAAUGAGAAGCAGAACCAAAAUCUUACUUUGCCACCAAUGCAGCUGAUGAGGAGUGACAGAAAGGAAUACCUAGGAACUAUGCUGUGAGUGCCAUCCGUCUGGCCUUCAUUGCCAUGCUUCUCAUCGGGCUGCCAACUGGGUACGUUGCAGCUUGUUCCACAGUCUUCACAGCCAUCACCCUGCAAUUGCCAAUUCCUGACAUCGUCGACAGUGUACCUUUCUUGGAUGCACCCUCACCUGGCAAGCUCGUUCACUGAAGUUGAACCACAUUUGCAGAGACUCAAGUAAACAACAGCAACUUCAAUAUGCCGCUCAAU